RNAcentral lists this ribosomal RNA (253 nucleotides) under uncultured bacterium. RNAcentral describes it as "partial 16S ribosomal RNA". It matches the Rfam family "Bacterial small subunit ribosomal RNA", at positions 524 to 776 of the family's 1533-position model. The record is from RNAcentral.
UACGAAAGGCCCAAACGUUAUUCGGAAUUACUGGGCUUAAAGAGUUCGUAGGCGGCAUUGCAAGUAGGGUGUGAAAGCCCUCGGCUCAACCGAGGAAUUGCGCUCUAAACUGCAGUGCUUGAGGAACCUAGAGGUGAGCAGAACAGAUGGUGGAGCGGUGAAAUGCGUUGAUAUCAGCUGGAAUACCGGAGGCGAAGGCGGCUCACUGGGAGUUUUCUGACGCUGAGGAACGAAAGCCAGGGUAGCGAACGGG